UUGAUCUAUCUAUAUAAAAGACAUAUUAAGGAUAAAUCAGAAAUAUUUAACAAGAUAUAUUUUAAAUGUGAUUAAACAUGUUGGAACAUUUAUAGUUUAAAUUUGUAUAAUUUUAUGUUGUUGUAUGUAAAAUGCAUGGAUUUGAUAUUUGCGGAAGAAUAUUUUCUUGCAAUAAGUCUCCUGUCGGCCAUCUUGAAAGAAGGAGUGGAUAAUUUAUUGUGAGAAGACUGUUUUGAUGAUAUAAGUCGUUUUAUCAUUGAAUGCGACUUUCUAUGGUUUUUAUAGGAAGGUUCUGCAGUUUUCUUUAUUAACUAGGUGCAAACCAUUUCCAAACAUCGCAAUAGACAAACAACAUGUCAAUUUUGCAGACGUUGGAAGAAAAGGUCUGUUCCAGGUACUUUGCAAAUAUUCAACAGAUCUAAGUGUCAGUCUUCACUGA
This 439-nucleotide long non-coding RNA is filed under the name Anneissia japonica. Its description in RNAcentral is "uncharacterized LOC117115945, transcript variant X1". Lineage: Eukaryota; Metazoa; Echinodermata; Crinoidea; Comatulida; Comatulidae. The record is from RNAcentral.